This 253-nucleotide ribosomal RNA is filed under the name uncultured bacterium. Its description in RNAcentral is "partial 16S ribosomal RNA". It matches the Rfam family "Bacterial small subunit ribosomal RNA", at positions 524 to 776 of the family's 1533-position model. The record is from RNAcentral.
UACGAAGGGGGCUAGCGUUGCUCGGAAUCACUGGGCGUAAAGCGCACGUAGGCGGCUUCUUAAGUCAGGGGUGAAAUCCCGGGGCUCAACCCCGGAACUGCCUUUGAUACUGGGUAUCUCGAGUCCGGAAGAGGUGAGUGGAAUUCCGAGUGUAGAGGUGAAAUUCGUAGAUAUUCGGAGGAACACCAGUGGCGAAGGCGGCUCACUGGUCCGGUACUGACGCUGAGGUGCGAAAGCGUGGGGAGCAAACAGG